Molecule: ribosomal RNA, 253 nt
Filed under: uncultured bacterium
Lineage: Bacteria
Description: partial 16S ribosomal RNA
Rfam family: Bacterial small subunit ribosomal RNA
Source: RNAcentral
UACGUAGGGGGCAAGCGUUGUCCGGAAUCAUUGGGCGUAAAGAGCGCGUAGGCGGCCCUGUAAGUCCGCUGUGAAAGUCAAGGGCUCAACCCUUGAAUGCCGGUGGAUACUGCAGGGCUAGAGUCCGGAAGAGGCGAGUGGAAUUCCUGGUGUAGCGGUGAAAUGCGCAGAUAUCAGGAGGAACACCGGUGGCGAAGGCGGAUCUCUGGGCCGUACCUGACGCUCAGGUGCGAAAGCUAGGGGAGCGAACAGG